Molecule: ribosomal RNA, 468 nt
Filed under: uncultured bacterium
Lineage: Bacteria
Description: partial 16S ribosomal RNA
Rfam family: Bacterial small subunit ribosomal RNA
Source: RNAcentral
GACGAACGCUGGCGGCGUGCUUAACACAUGCAAGUCGAACGGAAAGGCCCUGCUUUUGUGGGGUGCUCGAGUGGCGAACGGGUGAGUAACACGUGAGUAACCUGCCCUUGACUUUGGGAUAACUUCAGGAAACUGGGGCUAAUACCGGAUAGGGGCUCCUGCUGCAUGGUGGGGGUUGGAAAGUUUCGGCGGUUGGGGAUGGACUCGCGGCUUAUCAGCUUGUUGGUGGGGUAGUGGCUUACCAAGGCUUUGACGGGUAGCCGGCCUGAGAGGGUGACCGGCCACAUUGGGACUGAGAUACGGCCCAGACUCCUACGGGAGGCAGCAGUGGGGAAUAUUGCACAAUGGGCGGAAGCCUGAUGCAGCAACGCCGCGUGCGGGAUGACGGCCUUCGGGUUGUAAACCGCUUUCGCCUGUGACGAAGCGUGAGUGACGGUAAUGGGCAAAGAAGCACCGGCUAACUACGUG